This 370-nucleotide ribosomal RNA is filed under the name uncultured bacterium. RNAcentral's name for it is "bacterial SSU rRNA". It matches the Rfam family "Bacterial small subunit ribosomal RNA", at positions 29 to 426 of the family's 1533-position model. The record is from RNAcentral.
AACGAACGCUGGCGGCAUGCCUAACACAUGCAAGUCGAACGAGACCUUCGGGUCUAGUGGCGCACGGGUGCGUAACACGUGGGAAUCUGCCCUUGGGUUCGGAAUAACAGUUGGAAACGACUGCUAAUACCGGAUGAUGACGUAAGUCCAAAGAUUUAUCGCCCAAGGAUGAGCCCGCGUCGGAUUAGCUAGUUGGUGGGGUAAAGGCCUACCAAGGCGACGAUCCGUAGCNGGUCUGAGAGGAUGAUCAGCCACACUGGGACUGAGACACGGCCCAGACUCCUACGGGAGGCAGCAGUGGGGAAUCUUGCGCAAUGGGCGAAAGCCUGAUGGAGCGACGCCGCGUGAGGGAUGAAGCUUUUCGGAGUGU